RNAcentral lists this ribosomal RNA (253 nucleotides) under uncultured bacterium. RNAcentral's name for it is "partial 16S ribosomal RNA". It matches the Rfam family "Bacterial small subunit ribosomal RNA", at positions 524 to 776 of the family's 1533-position model. The record is from RNAcentral.
UACGUAGGGCGCAAGCGUUAUCCGGAAUUAUUGGGCGUAGAGAGCUCGUAGGCGGUUUGUCGCGUCUGCCGUGAAAGUCCGGGGCUCAACUCCGGAUCUGCGGUGGGUACGGGCAGACUAGAGUGAUGUAGGGGAGACUGGAAUUCCUGGUGUAGCGGUGAAAUGCGCAGAUAUCAGGAGGAACACCGAUGGCGAAGGCAGGUCUCUGGGCAUUAACUGACGCUGAGGAGCGAAAACAUGGGGAGCGAACAGG